UAGGGAAUCUUCCACAAUGGACGCAAGUCUGAUGGAGCAACGCCGCGUGAGUGAAGAAGGUUUUCGGACCGUAAAGCUCUGUUGUUGGUGAAGAAGGAUAGAGGUAGUAACUGGCCUUUAUUUGACGGUAAUCAACCAGAAAGUCACGGCUAACUACGUGCCAGCAGCCGCGGUAAUACGUAGGUGGCAAGCGUUGUCCGGAUUUAUUGGGCGUAAAGCGAGCGCAGGCGGAAGAAUAAGUCUGAUGUGAAAGCCCUCGGCUUAACCGAGGAAUUGCAUCGGAAACUGUUUUCUUGAGUGCAGAAGAGGAGAGUAGAACUCCAUGUGUAGCGGUGGAAUGCGUAGAUAUAUGGAAGAAUACCAGUGGCGAGGGCGGCUCUCUGGUCUGCAACUGACGCUGAGGCUCGAAAGCAUGGGUAGCGAACAGGAUUAGAUACCCUGGUAGUCCAUGCCGUAAACGAUGAGUGCUAAGUGUUGGGAGGCUUCCGCCUCUCAGUGCUGCAGCUAACGCAUUAAGCACUCCGCCUGGGGGAGUACGACCGCAAGGUUGAAAC
RNAcentral lists this ribosomal RNA (554 nucleotides) under uncultured bacterium. RNAcentral's name for it is "partial 16S ribosomal RNA". It matches the Rfam family "Bacterial small subunit ribosomal RNA", at positions 355 to 900 of the family's 1533-position model. The record is from RNAcentral.